Molecule: transfer RNA, 72 nt
Rfam family: tRNA
About the family: Transfer RNA (tRNA) molecules are approximately 80 nucleotides in length. Their secondary structure includes four short double-helical elements and three loops (D, anti-codon, and T loops).
Source: Rfam
GGCCCUAUGGUCAAGCGGUUAAGACACCGCCCUUUCACGGCGGUAACCCGGGUUCGAAUCCCGGUAGGGUCA